UCGUGGGACCCAUUGCCAUGGGCGCCGAGUAUGCUUGAUUGCCAUGUCAGAGGCAAAGGUCCUAGAGCUUGGUGGUGUGUGUGUGAUUUUUUUUCUCCCGUUGCAAUGCAUCAAUCCAUUUAUUCAUGCAUCCAUCGAUUUACUUUGAAUUUUUUUUCAGUCGUCGAACAUUAGCUGGAUUGGUUCAUGGAUAUGCAGUGUGACAAGUCAUGUGAGAUGAAGGUAGUGAACUGUCUCAAUGUGAAGCCAAGUAUGUGAAGGAUAUGCCAUGGAUGAUGUGGACAG
This 285-nucleotide long non-coding RNA is filed under the name Triticum aestivum (bread wheat). Its description in RNAcentral is "long non-coding RNA (TAES_LNC001616)". Lineage: Eukaryota; Viridiplantae; Streptophyta; Magnoliopsida; Poales; Poaceae. The record is from RNAcentral.